GAAUCUGUCUUGAUUUUAUAGUAAUACCCGGUUGCAAUUAUUGGCCGCCAUCUUUGAUUUUUAUAGACGUUCGGGCAAAAGGAGAAAUGUAUAUCCAGACAUGGACUAUAGCUAGAUACUAACUUUUGUGUUAGUUGUUUAGUUGAAAUGUAAUCUUAUUUCUGUAAAAGAAAAAAACAACAACAAACAAAUCAGCCUUUUUUUUUAUAUCAAUGUCAUCAAUGUGUAGGCCUAAUAUUAGACUUUCAAUGAUUCAGAAGUUUCUCUACAGUUUCGUUAUUUUUUUUCCCAGUCAUUGAUGUUAGCAUGUACUACACAAAGAAAAACAGGCAAAGCAUGAAGCCAAAGGAAAUGUUUUUACCAAGGCAUGUUCCUCAAUAGCGGAGAGAGUUUUAUCCAGUGUCGGUUCUGCAGAAGAACCCAUUCAUAGCAGACCACCCAUUGCAGCACUUGUAAGGUCGCUAUAAAGAACCCGACAGACUCUGCGACCAAAAGAUCCCACUGACGUGUCGUCAAGCCUUGACGAAGAUUUCAUCGAUCAUAGUGCACCGGGAUUUUAUCAAAAAAGAGUAAAAGUUGGGGAAAGGCGCCAUCACAUUUUUUGUACUGAUAGACAGAUGCAACUACUCGCACGCGCAAAAACUUGGUAUAUGGAUGCAACUUUUCGGGUGGUGAACAAGCCAUGGUCUCAGCUGUUUUCCAUACACGCCUUCAUUAAGACUGGAGAGACCACCCGACAGUUACCAUUGGUGUUUUGUGUAAUGUCGGGUAAAAGCCAAGACGACUAUUAUAAGUUUCCAUAUUAGAUGCCAUAGCAAAUCAAAGAUCAUAUAAUAAAAUAAGUCAAAAAACCCAAAUAUGGGAAAAGAAAGAGCUGAAGAAAUGGUGAUUUGAGCACCUAUGAUUUCUCAUAGGUGUUUUUGGAGGUUAACUACAUCAGAAAGAUCAAGACAGUUGGAAAUGGCUAUUCAUAUUAUGGAAACUUUUUCUCACAGGGCUUGAUAAUCAGGUAAAAUGUAAGUAACAU
This is a long non-coding RNA of Patella vulgata (common limpet), 1027 nucleotides long. RefSeq lists it as uncharacterized. Lineage: Eukaryota; Metazoa; Mollusca; Gastropoda; Patellidae. The record is from RefSeq and is a predicted model, not a curated record. The transcript is spliced from 5 exons.